This 1239-nucleotide non-coding RNA is filed under the name Homo sapiens (human). The record is from RNAcentral. Lineage: Eukaryota; Metazoa; Chordata; Mammalia; Primates; Hominidae.
GGCCAGCUCUCAAUGUUGCAAGAAAAAAUAGACCAUUUGGAGCGUUUGCUAGCUGAGAAUAAUGAGAUCAUCUCAAAUAUUAGAGACUCAGUCAUCAAUUUGAGUGAGUCUGUGGAGGAUGGUCCGAAAAGUUCACAAAGCAAUUUCAGCCAAGGUGCUGGCUCACAUCUUCUGCCCUCACAAUUAUCCCUCUCAGUUGACACUGCAGACUGUCUGUUUGCUUCACAAAGUGGAAGUCACAAUUCAGAUGUGCAGAUGUUGGAUGUUUACAGUCUAAUUUCUUUUGACAAUCCAGAUGGUGGAGUUUGGAAGCAAGGAUUUGACAUUACUUAUGAAUCUAAUGAAUGGGACACUGAACCCCUUCAAGUCUUUGUGGUGCCUCAUUCCCAUAACGACCCAGGUUGGUUGAAGACUUUCAAUGACUACUUUAGAGACAAGACUCAGUAUAUUUUUAAUAACAUGGUCCUAAAGCUGAAAGAAGACUCACGGAGGAAGUUUAUUUGGUCUGAGAUCUCUUACCUUUCAAAGUGGUGGGAUAUUAUAGAUAUUCAGAAGAAGGAUGCUGUUAAAAGUUUAAUAGAAAAUGGUCAGCUUGAAAUUGUGACAGGUGGCUGGGUUAUGCCUGAUGAAGCUACUCCACAUUAUUUUGCCUUAAUUGAUCAACUAAUUGAAGGACAUCAGUGGCUGGAAAAUAAUAUAGGAGUGAAACCUCGGUCCGGCUGGGCUAUUGAUCCCUUUGGACACUCACCAACAAUGGCUUAUCUUCUAAACCGUGCUGGACUUUCUCACAUGCUUAUCCAGAGAGUUCAUUAUGCAGUUAAAAAACACUUUGCACUGCAUAAAACAUUGGAGUUUUUUUGGAGACAGAAUUGGGAUCUGGGAUCUGUCACAGAUAUUUUAUGCCACAUGAUGCCCUUCUACAGCUAUGACAUCCCUCACACUUGUGGACCUGAUCCUAAAAUAUGCUGCCAGUUUGAUUUUAAACGUCUUCCUGGAGGCAGAUUUGGUUGUCCCUGGGGAGUCCCCCCAGAAACAAUACAUCCUGGAAAUGUCCAAAGCAGGGCUCGGAUGCUACUAGAUCAGUACCGAAAGAAGUCAAAGCUUUUUCGUACCAAAGUUCUCCUGGCUCCACUAGGAGAUGAUUUCCGCUACUGUGAAUACACGGAAUGGGAUUUACAGUUUAAGAAUUAUCAGCAGCUUUUUGAUUAUAUGAAUUCUCAGUCCAAGUUUAAAGUUAAG